AUUGAACGCUGGCGGCAUGCCUUACACAUGCAAGUCGAACGGCAGCACGGGUGCUUGCACCUGGUGGCGAGUGGCGAACGGGUGAGUAAUACAUCGGAACGUACCUUAUCGUGGGGGAUAACGCAGCGAAAGCUGUGCUAAUACCGCAUACGCCCUGAGGGGGAAAGCGGGGGAUCGCAAGACCUCGCGCGAUUAGAGCGGCCGAUGCCUGAUUAGCUUGUUGGUGGGGUAAAAGCCCACCAAGGCGACGAUCAGGAGCUGGUCUGAGAGGACGAUCAACCACACUGGGACUGUGACACGGCCCAGACUCCGACGGGAGGCAGCAGUGGGGAAUUUUUGACAAUGGGGGCAACCCUGAUCCAGCAAUGCCGCGUGAGUGAAGAAGGCCUUCGGGUUGUAAAGCUCUUUUGUCAGGGAAGAAACACCGGCUCUAACACAGUCUGGGAAUGACGGUACCUGAAGAAUAAGCACCGGCUAACUACGUGCCAGCCGCCGCAGUAA
This 501-nucleotide ribosomal RNA is filed under the name uncultured bacterium. RNAcentral describes it as "partial 16S ribosomal RNA". It matches the Rfam family "Bacterial small subunit ribosomal RNA", at positions 30 to 523 of the family's 1533-position model. The record is from RNAcentral.